AGAACGAACGCUGGCGGCAGGCUUAACACAUGCAAGUCGAACGCUCUUGGGGCUUCGGUCUCAGGGGAGUGGCGCACGGGUGAGUAGCGCGUGGGAACCUGCCCUGUUGUGGGGGAUAACCGAGGGAAACUUCGGCUAAUACCGCAUAAGCCGGUUGUCUUGAAGGAGAUGGCCGGGAAAGAUUUAUCGCGACAGGAGGGGCCCGCGUCGGAUUAGCUAGUUGGUGGGGUAACGGCCCACCAAGGCGGUGAUCCGUAGCUGGUCUGAGAGGAUGAUCAGCCACACUGGGACUGAGACACGGCCCAGACUCCUACGGGAGGCAGCAGUGGGGAAUAUUGGACAAUGGGCGCAAGCCUGAUCCAGCAAUGCCGCGUGAGUGAUGAAGGCCUUAGGGUUGUAAAGCUCUUUCGCCCGCGACGAUGAUGACGGUAGCGGGAGAAGAGCCCGCUAACUCGUGCCAGCAGCCGC
RNAcentral lists this ribosomal RNA (468 nucleotides) under uncultured bacterium. RNAcentral describes it as "SSU rRNA". It matches the Rfam family "Bacterial small subunit ribosomal RNA", at positions 26 to 518 of the family's 1533-position model. The record is from RNAcentral.